GGACCUGACUGCUAUCGGAUUGCUACUAAGCCAUGCGAGUCAUUGUAGUAAUACAAGGCAGACGGCUCAGUAACGCGUAGUCAACCUACCCUAUGGACGGGGAUAACCUCGGGAAACUGAGAAUAAUACCCGAUAGAACAUUAUGCCUGGAAUGGUUUAUGUUUCAAAUAAUUUAUUGCCGUAGGAUGGGACUGCGGCCUAUCAGUUUGUUGGUGAGGUAAUGGCCCACCAAGACUAUUACAGGUACGGGCUCUGAGAGGAGUAGCCCGGAGAUGGGUACUGAGACACGGACCCAGGCCCUAUGGGGCGCAGCAGGCGAGAAAACUUUGCAAUGUGCGAAAGCACGACAAGGUUAAUCCGAGUGGUUUCUGCUAAAGGAACCUUUUGUCAGUCCUAGAAACACUGAUGAAUAAGGGGUGGGCAAGUUCUGGUGU
RNAcentral lists this ribosomal RNA (434 nucleotides) under uncultured archaeon. RNAcentral describes it as "bacterial SSU rRNA". It matches the Rfam family "Archaeal small subunit ribosomal RNA", at positions 19 to 458 of the family's 1478-position model. The record is from RNAcentral.